Molecule: ribosomal RNA, 441 nt
Filed under: uncultured Enterobacter sp.
Lineage: Bacteria; Pseudomonadati; Pseudomonadota; Gammaproteobacteria; Enterobacterales; Enterobacteriaceae
Description: bacterial SSU rRNA
Rfam family: Bacterial small subunit ribosomal RNA
Source: RNAcentral
UGCAUGGCUGUCGUCAGCUCGUGUUGUGAAAUGUUGGGUUAAGUCCCGCAACGAGCGCAACCCUUAUCCUUUGUUGCCAGCGGUUAGGCCGGGAACUCAAAGGAGACUGCCAGUGAUAAACUGGAGGAAGGUGGGGAUGACGUCAAGUCAUCAUGGCCCUUACGAGUAGGGCUACACACGUGCUACAAUGGCGCAUACAAAGAGAAGCGACCUCGCGAGAGCAAGCGGACCUCAUAAAGUGCGUCGUAGUCCGGAUUGGAGUCUGCAACUCGACUCCAUGAAGUCGGAAUCGCUAGUAAUCGUAGAUCAGAAUGCUACGGUGAAUACGUUCCCGGGCCUUGUACACACCGCCCGUCACACCAUGGGAGUGGGUUGCAAAAGAAGUAGGUAGCUUAACCUUCGGGAGGGCGCUUACCACUUUGUGAUUCAUGACUGGGGUGA